CCAAUAUUCAGAAGAAAGUCACUGAUCCUUCCCAUACUCAAAGGGAUUACACAAAGAUGUGAAUACCAGGAGCUGGAGAAGCUGGAAACACUCUAAAGUCUGUCUGCUACACAUCUGUUUUGGUAAAAGGAGUCUCCCCUGGUGCUGUGAGAUUGGUUUUCUGUGUUGGAAGGAGAGCAUGGAGAGCAGCUGCUGUCUCCCGGCCUGGUGCAGAGUAUACAAGAGUCAACAUUUUGGUGGCUCAUACCGGGAUCCAGAGAAGGACUCCUGCUGACUCUAAAGAUGGUGAGCAAACAAGUGCAGUAGCUGUACUGAGUCCACUGCUCCUCACUGCUUCCCACUGACCAGAAUUUGAGGCUUUGAUAUUAUUAGAAACAGACACACUUUAAAAAGAAGUUUGCCUUCUAAGUGAUUCUGUGGGUGAAAGGACCAGACUUCACAUUGUACCAAGAGGUACUGAGAGGGAAAACCUGAUGAAGUGUGAAUACAGCCGCGAAAUAUCAAAGUAUUCAAGAAAUGCAUGAGAUAGAGUGCAGGUAAAAAAUUUAAGUAAAUAUUGAAGGUAUAUAUAUAUUUUAAAAAUUAUGACAGACGUAAAUACAACACCAUGCGGAAG
This 616-nucleotide long non-coding RNA is filed under the name Capra hircus (goat). RNAcentral describes it as "lncRNA (ENSCHIG00000007016.1)". The record is from RNAcentral. Lineage: Eukaryota; Metazoa; Chordata; Mammalia; Artiodactyla; Bovidae.